This is a non-coding RNA of Myotis brandtii (Brandt's bat), 75 nucleotides long. NCBI's taxonomy places the organism in Eukaryota, Metazoa, Chordata, Mammalia, Chiroptera, Vespertilionidae. The record is from Rfam.
GGCAGUUCUUGGGUGACUCAUCCUGGAAUCAGGCUCUGUCCUCUCUGGUUCUGGGUGUGUCACCUGAGAACCGCA